UACGUAGGGUGCAGGCGUUAAUCGGAAUUACUGGGCGUAAAGCGUGCGCAGGCGGUUUCUUAAGUCAGAUGUGAAAGCCCCGGGCUUAACCUGGGAACUGCGUUUGAAACUGAGAGACUAGAGUGUGGCAGAGGGGGGUGGAAUUCCACGUGUAGCAGUGAAAUGCGUAGAUAUCGGGAGGAACAUCAGUGGCGAAGGCGGCCUUCUGGUCCAGUACUGACACUCAAGUGCGAAAGCGUGGGGAGCAAACAGG
RNAcentral lists this ribosomal RNA (253 nucleotides) under uncultured bacterium. RNAcentral's name for it is "partial 16S ribosomal RNA". It matches the Rfam family "Bacterial small subunit ribosomal RNA", at positions 524 to 776 of the family's 1533-position model. The record is from RNAcentral.